This 443-nucleotide ribosomal RNA is filed under the name uncultured bacterium. RNAcentral describes it as "partial 16S ribosomal RNA". It matches the Rfam family "Bacterial small subunit ribosomal RNA", at positions 338 to 795 of the family's 1533-position model. The record is from RNAcentral.
CCUACGGGUGGCAGCAGUGGGGAAUAUUGGGCAAUGGGCGCAAGCCUGACCCAGCAACGCCGCGUGAAGGAAGAAGGCUUUCGGGUUGUAAACUUCUUUUCUCAGGGACGAAGCAAGUGACGGUACCUGAGGAAUAAGCCACGGCUAACUACGUGCCAGCAGCCGCGGUAAUACGUAGGUGGCAAGCGUUAUCCGGAUUUACUGGGUGUAAAGGGCGUGUAGGCGGUAUGUCAAGUCAAGGGUGAAAUCCCCGCGCUCAACGUGGGAACUGCCUUUGAAACUGGCAAACUGGAGUGUGUGAGAGGAUAGUGGAAUUCCAGGUGUAGGAGUGAAAUCCGUAGAUAUCUGGAGGAACAUCAGUGGCGAAGGCGACUAUCUGGCACAUAACUGACGCUGAGGAGCGAAAGCGUGGGUAGCAAACAGGAUUAGAUACCCUAGUAGUC